RNAcentral lists this ribosomal RNA (465 nucleotides) under uncultured bacterium. RNAcentral's name for it is "partial 16S ribosomal RNA". It matches the Rfam family "Bacterial small subunit ribosomal RNA", at positions 28 to 507 of the family's 1533-position model. The record is from RNAcentral.
GACGAACGCUGGCGGCGUGCUUAACACAUGCAAGUCGAACGGAAAGGCCCCUUUGGGGGUACUCGAGUGGCGAACGGGUGAGUAACACGUGAGUAACCUGCCCUUGACUUCGGGAUAACUUCAGGAAACUGGGGCUAAUACCGGAUAGGAAUCCUUGCUGCAUGGUGUGGGUUGGAAAGCUUCGGCGGUUUUGGAUGGACUCGCGGCUUAUCAGCUUGUUGGUGGGGUAGUGGCUUACCAAGGCUUUGACGGGUAGCCGGCCUGAGAGGGCGACCGGCCACAUUGGGACUGAGAUACGGCCCAGACUCCUACGGGAGGCAGCAGUGGGGAUUAUUGCACAAUGGGCGGAAGCCUGAUGCAGCAACGCCGCGUGCGGGAUGACGGCCUUCGGGUUGUAAACCGCUUUCAGCAGGGGCGAAGCUUGUGGUGACGGUACCUGCAGAAGAAGCACCGGCUAACUACGUG